This 787-nucleotide ribosomal RNA is filed under the name uncultured Geothermobacterium sp. RNAcentral describes it as "bacterial SSU rRNA". It matches the Rfam family "Bacterial small subunit ribosomal RNA", at positions 28 to 794 of the family's 1533-position model. The record is from RNAcentral. Lineage: Bacteria; Pseudomonadati; Thermodesulfobacteriota; Thermodesulfobacteria; Thermodesulfobacteriales; Thermodesulfobacteriaceae.
GGCGAACGCUAGCGGCGCGCCUAACACAUGCAAGUCGUGCGGGAAAGGGCUUCGGCCCCAGUACCGCGGCAGACGGGUGAGUAACACGUGAGUAACCUGUCCUCGGGUCUGGGAUAACCACCCGAAAGGGUGGCUAAUACCGGAUAAAGUCACCGGGCGCAAGCUCGGUGAUGAAAGGGGGCCUCUGCAUAGCAAGCUCCUGCCUGAGGAGGGGCUCGCGGCCCAUCAGCUAGUUGGUGGGGUAACGGCCCACCAAGGCUAUGACGGGUAGCCGGCCUGAGAGGGUGGUCGGCCACACGGGCACUGAGACACGGGCCCGACUCCUACGGGAGGCAGCAGUGGGGAAUCUUGGGCAAUGGGCGAAAGCCUGACCCAGCGACGCCGCGUGGGGGAAGAAGGCCUUCGGGUCGUAAACCCCUGUUCUGGGGGAAGAACCCUGGCUGGGUUAAGAGCCCAGUCAGGCUGACGGUACCCCAGGAGAAAGCCACGGCUAACUGCGUGCCAGCAGCCGCGGUAAUACGCAGGUGGCGAGCGUUGCCCGGAAUUACUGGGCGUAAAGGGUGCGUAGGCGGCCGGACAAGUCGUAGGUUAAAGCCCGGGGCUCAACCCCGGAAAGGCCUACGAUACUGUCUGGCUUGAGGGCUGGAGAGGCUGGCGGAAUUCCCGGUGUAGGGGUGAAAUCCGUAGAUAUCGGGAGAACACCGGAGGGGAAGCCGGCCAGCUGGACAGCUCCUGACGCUGAGGCACGAAAGCGUGGGGAGCAAACCGGAUUAGAUACCCGGGUAGU